UACGUAGGGUGCAAGCGUUAAUCGGAAUUACUGGGCGUAAAGCGUGCGCAGGCGGUUUUGUAAGUCUGUCGUGAAAUCCCCGGGCUCAACCUGGGAAUUGCGAUGGAGACUGCAAGGCUAGAAUCUGGCAGAGGGGGGUAGAAUUCCACGUGUAGCAGUGAAAUGCGUAGAGAUGUGGAGGAACACCGAUGGCGAAGGCAGCCCCCUGGGCCAACACUGACGCUCAGGCACGAAAGCGUUGGGAGCAAACAGG
Molecule: ribosomal RNA, 253 nt
Filed under: uncultured bacterium
Lineage: Bacteria
Description: partial 16S ribosomal RNA
Rfam family: Bacterial small subunit ribosomal RNA
Source: RNAcentral